AAAUGAGACCACAAUAAAUGCACUCGGAGAAUCUGGGCGCUGCUCUUUCCCCUUGACUGUGAAAGUGUCGCAAAAUGCGAAAAAGCGGGAAUGCACAUGCCCUGAUGUCUCCCUCGGUAUGAGUUCUGCUGCUGAAACUGAGAGGUCGCUGUACCUUUCUUCAUAAAUGAGACCACAAUAAAUGCACUCCGAGAAUCUGGGCGCUGCUCCGUCCUCUAAACUGUGAAACUGUUUCGCAAAACGCGAAAUAGUGGGAAUGCACAUGCCUUGAGGUCUCCCUCGGUAUGAGUCCUGCUUCUGAAAACUGAGAGGUCGCUGUGCCUUACUUCGUAAAUUAGGCCACAGUAACUGCACUUAGAAAAUCUUGGCCCUGCUCUUUCCCCUUGACUGUGAAACUGUUUCGCAAAAUGCGAAAAAGCGAAAAUGCACAAGCCCUGAGGUCAACUUCGGUGUGAGUUCUGCUGCUGAAAACUGAGAGGUCACUGUGCCUUACUUCGUAAAUUAGGCCACAGUAACUGCACUUCGAAACUCUGGGCGCUGCUCUUUCCCCUUGACUGUGAAACUUUCGCAAAAUGCGAAAAAGCGGUAGUGCACAUGCCCUGAGGUCUCCCUCGGUACGAAUUCUCCUGCUGAAAACUGAGAGGUCGCUGUGCCUUACUUCAUAAAUUAGGCCACAGUAACUGCACUUCGAAACUCUGGGCGCUGCUCUUUCCGCUUGACUGUGAAACUUUCGCAAAAUGCGAAAAAGCGCGAAUGCACUUGCCCUGAGGUCUCCCUCGGUAUGAGUCCUGCUGCUGAAAACUGAGAGGUCGCUGUGCCUUACUUCGUAAAUUAGGCCACAGUAACUGCACUUAGAAAAUCUUGGACAUGCUCUUUCCCCUUGUCUGUGAAACUGUUUCGCAAAAUGAUAAAAAGCGAAAAUGCACAUGGCCUGAGGUCUCCCUCGGUAUGAGUUCUGCUGCUGAAAACUGAGAGGUCGCUGUGCCUUACUUCGUAAAUUAGGCCAAAGUAACUGCACUUCGAAACUCUGGGCGCUGCUCUUUCUCCUUCACUGUGAAACUUUCGCAAAUGCGAAAAAGCGGGAAUGCACAUGCCCUGAGGUCUCCCUCGGUAUGAGUCCUGCUGCUGAAAACUGAGAGGUCGCUGUGCCUUACUUCGUAAAUUAGGCCACAGUAACUGCACUUCGAAACUCUGGGCGCUGCUCUUUCCUCUUGACUGUGAAACUUUCGCAAAAUGCGAAAAGGUGGGAAUGCACAUGCCUUGAGGUCUCCCUCGGUAUGGGACCUGCUGCUGAAAACUGAGAGGUCGUUGCGCCUAACUUCGUAAAUUAGGCCACAGUAACUGCACUUCGAAAGUCUGGGCGCUGCUCUUUUACCUUGACUGUGAAACUGUUUCACAACAUGCGAAAAGGCGGGAAUGCACAUGCCUUGAGGUCUCCCUAGGUAUGAGUUCUGCUGCUGAAUACUGAGCAGUCGCUGUGCCUUACUUCGUAAAUUAGGCCACAGUCACUGCACUUCGAAAAUCUGGGCGCUGCUCUUUUCCCUUGACUGUGAAACUAUUUCGCAAAAUGCGAAAAAGUGGGAAUGCACAUGUCCUGAUGUCUCCCUAGGUAUGAGUUCUGCUGCUGAAAACUGAGAGGUCGAUGUGCCUAACUUCGUAAAUUAGGCUACAGUAACUGCACUUAGAAACCCUGGGCGAUGCUCUUUUUCCUUGACUGUGAAACUGUUUCGCAAAAUGCGAAAUAGGCGAAUGCACAUGAUCUGAGGUCUCUCUUGGUAUGAGUUCUGCUGCUGAAAACUGAGAGGUCGCAGUGCCUCACUUCGUAAAUGAGACCACAAUUAAUGCACUCGGAGAAUCAUGGCGCUGCUCCGUCUUCUUGACUGUGAAACUGUUUCGCAAAACGCGAAAUAGAGGAAUGCACAUGCCCUGAGCUCUCCCUCGGUAUGAGUUCUGCUGCUGAAAACUGAGAGGUCGCUGUGCCUCACAUCGUAAAUGAGACCACAAUUGAUGCACUCGAAGAAUCAUGGCGCUGCUCCGUCUUCUUGACUGUGAAACUGUUUCGCAAAAAGCGAAAUAGAGGACUGCACAUGCCCUGAGGUCUCCCUCGGUAUGAGUUCUGCGGCUGAAAACUGAGAGGUCGCUGUGCCUUACUUCGUAAAUUUGGCCAGAGUAACUGAACUUCGAAACUCUGGGCGAUGCUCUUUUUCCUUGACUGUGAAACUGUUUCGCAAAAUGCGAAAAAGCGGGAAUGCACAUGCCCUGAGGUCUCCCUCAGUAUGAGUUCUGCUGCUGAAAACUAAGAGGUCGCUGUGCCUUACUUCGUAAAUUAGGCCAAAGUAACUGCACUUCGAAACUCUGGGCGCUGCUCUUUCUCCUUGACUGUGAAACUUUCGCAAAUGCGAAAAAGCGGGAAUGCACAUGCCCUGAGGACUCCCUCGGUAUGAGUUCUGCUGCUGAAAACUGAGAGGUCGCUGUUCCUCACUUCGUAAAUGAGACCACAAUUAAUGCACUCGGAGAAUCAUGGCGCUGCUCCAUCCUCUUGACUGUGAAACUGUUUCGCAAAACGCGAAAUAGAGGAAUGCACAUGCACUGAGGUCUCCCUCGGUAUGAGUUCUGCAGCUGAAAACUGAGAGGUCGCUGUGCCUUCGUAAAUUAGGCCACAGUAACUGCACUUCGAAACUCUGGGCGCUGCUCUUCCCUCUUGACUGUGAAACUUUCGCAAAAUGCGAAAAGGUGGGAAUGCACAUGCCUUGAGGUCUCCCUCGGUAUGAGACCUGCUGCUGAAAACUGAGAGUUCGUUGUGCCUAACUUCGUAAAUUAGGCCACAGUAACUGCACUUCGAAACUCUGGGCGCUGCUCUUUUACCUUGACUGUGAAACUGUUUCGCAAAAUGCGAAAAGGCGGGAAUGCACAUGCCUUGAGGUCUCCCUAGGUAUGAGUUCUGCUGCUGAAUACUGAGCAGUCGCUGUGCCUUACUUCGUAAAUUAGGCCACAGUCACUGCACUUCGAAAAUCUGGGCGCUGCUCUUUUCCCUUGACUGUGAAACUAUUUCGCAAAAUGCGAAAAAGUGGGAAUGCACAUGUCCUGAUGUCUCCCUCGGUAUGAGUUCUGCUGCUGAAAACUGAGAGGUCGCUGUGCCUAACUUCGUAAAUUAGGCUACAGUAACUGUACUUAGAAACUCUAGGCGCUGCUCUUUCCCCUGGACUGUGAAACUGUUUCGCAAAAUGCGAAAAAGCGGGAAUGCACAUGCCCUGAGGCCUCCCUUUGCAUGAGUUCUGCUGCUGAAAACUGAGAGGUCGCUGUUCCUCACUUCGUAAAUGAGACCACAAUUAAUGCACUCGGAGAAUCAUGGCGCUGCUCCAUCCUCUUGACUGUGAAACUGUUUCGCAAAACGCGAAAUAGAGGAAUGCACAUGCACUGAGGUCUCCCUCGGUAUGAGUUCUGCUGCUGAAAACUGAGAGGUCGCUGUGCCUUCGUAAAUUUGGCCACAGUAACUGCACUUCGAAACUCUGGGCUCUGCUCUUUUUCCUUGACUGUGAAACUGUUUCGCAAAAUGCGAAAAAGCGGGAAUGCACAUGUCUUGAGGUCUCCCUAGGUGUGAGUUCUGCUGCUGAAAACUGAGAGGUCGCUGUGCCUUACUUCGUAAAUUUGGCCACAGUAACUGAACUUCGAAACUAUGGGCGAUGCUCUUUUCCCUUGACUAUGAAACUGUUUCUCAAAAUGCGAAAAAGUGGGAAUACACAUGCCCUGAGGUCUCCCUCUGUAUGAGUUCU
This is a long non-coding RNA of Dermacentor silvarum, 3773 nucleotides long. RefSeq lists it as uncharacterized. Lineage: Eukaryota; Metazoa; Arthropoda; Arachnida; Ixodida; Ixodidae. The record is from RefSeq and is a predicted model, not a curated record. The transcript has 7 exons.